UACGACUACAUAUCAGGCAUAUCAAUAAGCGGAGGAAAAGAAACUAACUAGGAUUCCCUUAGUAACGGCGAGUGAAGCGGGAAGAGCUCAAAUUUGAAAUCUUCAAGGUUCUACCUUGACGAAUUGUAGUUUAAAGAAGUGUUUUCUGUUGGUGUUUUGGUAAAAGUUCUUUGGAAUAGGACAUCAUAGAGGGUGAGAAUCCCGUAUUUGACCAUUACUUCCAGCUGUUGUGAUACACUUUCAAAGAGUCGGAUUGUUUGGGAAUGCAGUCCAAAAUGGGUGGUAAAUUUCAUCUAAAGCUAAAUACUGGCGAGAGACCGAUAGCGAACAAGUACCGUGAGGGAAAGAUGAAAAGAACUUUGAAAAGAGAGUUAAACAGUACGUGAAAUUGUCAAAAGGGAAGCGUUUGACACCAGUGUUGUUUUCUCGAAAAUCAAUUAAAAAAUGCCUGGAUUUUGUGUUGUAUUGACUUUAUCAGCUUUCUGCACUCUUUUUCUUGUCUUUUUUAAUGCACUUUUCGUUUAACAAGUCAACAUCAAUUUCUUUUGUUGUAAAAGGGUCAUUGGAAGGUGGCUUUCUUUUCGGAGAAAGUGUUUAUAGGCCUUUGGCCUCUGCAAUCGGAGAGAUUGAGGUCUGCAGCGUAGAUCCUUCGGGGUUAGAUACAUUUGUGCUAAGUUAUAGCCUUUCAUAGACAACUUGUUGACUAUGAUCAGUCAUGUAGCUUACUCGCUUAUGCUAUUUUACCUACGCUUAGGAUGUUGACGCGCGUGUGUGCGUG
RNAcentral lists this ribosomal RNA (778 nucleotides) under uncultured Neocallimastigales. RNAcentral describes it as "partial large subunit ribosomal RNA". It matches the Rfam family "Eukaryotic large subunit ribosomal RNA", at positions 24 to 635 of the family's 3401-position model. Lineage: Eukaryota; Fungi; Neocallimastigomycota; Neocallimastigomycetes; Neocallimastigales. The record is from RNAcentral.